RNAcentral lists this non-coding RNA (166 nucleotides) under Vibrio nigripulchritudo. RNAcentral's name for it is "c-di-GMP sequence". The stretch from base 1 to 79 matches the Rfam family "c-di-GMP-I riboswitch aptamer". Lineage: Bacteria; Pseudomonadati; Pseudomonadota; Gammaproteobacteria; Vibrionales; Vibrionaceae. The record is from RNAcentral.
UCGCUCUAAGGGCAAACUGGCUGUAAAGUCAGGGCGCAAAAUGACAGUGCCUGAUGGCAGUGGUCGCUGAGUUUAAGUCAUUCAGCUGUGUUGAUUUUUCACAAUAAGUCGCGUUAACGCUCAAUGGAAACAUCAACAGUCCAAUCAGGCAGGCUGCAUUGCUGAG